GGGGAUUUAGCUCAGUGGUAGAGCGCUUGCCCAUCAAGCGCAAGGCCCUGGGUUCAGUCCCCA
RNAcentral lists this transfer RNA (63 nucleotides) under Rattus norvegicus (Norway rat). It matches the Rfam family "tRNA". Rfam says of the family: Transfer RNA (tRNA) molecules are approximately 80 nucleotides in length. Their secondary structure includes four short double-helical elements and three loops (D, anti-codon, and T loops). Lineage: Eukaryota; Metazoa; Chordata; Mammalia; Rodentia; Muridae. The record is from Rfam by way of RNAcentral.